This 497-nucleotide ribosomal RNA is filed under the name uncultured bacterium. RNAcentral describes it as "partial 16S ribosomal RNA". It matches the Rfam family "Bacterial small subunit ribosomal RNA", at positions 28 to 507 of the family's 1533-position model. The record is from RNAcentral.
GAUGAACGCUGGCGGCGUGCCUAAUACAUGCAAGUCGAGCGAACGGACGAGAAGCUUGCUUCUCUGAUGUUAGCGGCGGACGGGUGAGUAACACGUGGAUAACCUACCUAUAAGACUGGGAUAACUUCGGGAAACCGGAGCUAAUACCGGAUAAUAUUUUGAACCGCAUGGUUCAAAAGUGAAAGACGGUCUUGCUGUCACUUAUAGAUGGAUCCGCGCUGCAUUAGCUAGUUGGUAAGGUAACGGCUUACCAAGGCAACGAUGCAUAGCCGACCUGAGAGGGUGAUCGGCCACACUGGAACUGAGACACGGUCCAGACUCCUACGGGAGGCAGCAGUAGGGAAUCUUCCGCAAUGGGCGAAAGCCUGACGGAGCAACGCCGCGUGAGUGAUGAAGGUCUUCGGAUCGUAAAACUCUGUUAUUAGGGAAGAACAUAUGUGUAAGUAACUGUGCGCAUCUUGACGGUACCUAAUCAGAAAGCCGCGGCUAACUACGUG